UCAUGUGUGCUCUGCGUCUGAGAGAAAGAAGAAAAGUGGGGGUUAGAGAAGUGCGGUUGUCCGUUUCCUGCUUUCAGUUGAUGUGUGCGCAGAACAGAGAAGAGAAACUUCCUUGAAUAGAGAGCUUAACAUUCUGACAGCGCAGAGAGGACACAUUUCAACAAGUGCUGCACACAUGAGUUCAAGAUAAACUGGGAGAUUUAUGACAAGGACCAUGAGCCGUGGAUCUAAAACUAAAACAGAGAGCGCGUGGAGCUCUCUGCUAAGCCCACAGGAGAAUGAGAAGUUGGAGGAGCUGCUGGGCAGAAGAUGUAUUUCCGUGGCCACUGCAGUAGCACAGCUGUUUAUGGCUCUGCCUCACAGCCCGUCCAUGUGGAGCUUGCAGCACACUGGAGUGGUAUGCUUCAUCAAGGACAACCCUCAGCGCUCCUACUUCAUACGCAUGUUUGAUUUGAAGACGAGCAGGCAGGUUUGGGAGCAGGAGCUCUACAACCAGAUAGUCUACUCCUCGCCUCAGUCCUACUUCCACACCUUCGCUGCGGAUGACUGUCAGGUCGGACUGAGCUUUGCUGAGCAACAGGAAGCAGAAGCCUUCCAAAAUGCUGUCGAGGAGAAAAUCUACCAGAGGAACAACCGCCCAGAUAAGAAGCAGCGCCCCCCGCCGCCGAGUGACCGAGGUUCCCUGGCUCCAGUCCCGCAAGAAAAAGCUUCACCUGGCAGCCCCGGUUCUCUUCACAUUGCCACAGUGGACAUCCAAAACCCAGAUAUCCAUGCUUCACGCUACCGCUCCGUCCCUCCACCCGCUGCGUCCUCACUUCUGAGCGGGAGAGGAAAGAAGGACAAAAAGAAAGGGAAAAAGGGCCCUAAGUUCUCCAAAGCAGACAUAGGGGCACCCAGUGGAUUUAAGCACGUUGGUCAUGUGGGCUUUGAUCUCAACAACCUGGACCCUGAUCUGUGGAACCUGCUCUCCCAAGCUGGGAUCGGUGAAGAUGAGCUGAAGGAUGAGAAGACCUCCCAGCUCAUCUAUAAUGUCAUCGAGCAGUCCGGUGGCAUGGAGGCAGUCAAAAAGGAGGCGCACAGAGCUUGUUUUCUUCCAUUGCAUCCUAGCCCCUCCUCCACCUGGCAGACAAGGGCCUCUGCCCGCUGUGCCAGGCUCCAAUCCCUCUGCUCCGGCCCCUCCACCCCCAAGAGGCCGCUCUGGCCCCCUGCCUCCAAUCCCAGGCCAGUCCCCGCGAGGAAUGCCGUCCCCGCAAUCGCCUCCUACACGCGGAGGCCUGCCACCCCCACCUCCGCCGACAAGCAGAGGUGGUCCUCCCCCGCCGCCGCCCCCAGCACACUCUGCAUCUUCUCACUUGUCCUCGCCGUCCUCGAGGCCCUCUCCCGUCUCACCCUCCAUCUCCUCCCACAACCUGCCUCCACCCCCGCCACCGUCCGGCCCACAGCGGUCCGUGGGUUUCCCACCUCCGGUCCCAUCUACACCCGGCAGAGGAGGCCCUCCACCUCCCCCUCCUCCACCGCCUCCACCUUCCCAAACCCCUGUGUCUUCAAAUUUCCCAGCUCCUCCUCGUCUUUCCGGUGGCCCACCCCCGCCCCCCCCUGCAUCUGAAGGAGUGGGAGAAAGCAGAGGAGCUCUGCUGGAUCAGAUCCGUUUGGGGAAGAAGCUCAGAAAUGUGAUAGACAGUCCUGAUGCAGCUCCACCCACGCCACCAGAGUCAGGCGAGGGCAUCGUUGGUGCCCUCAUGAUGGUCAUGCAGAAGAGGAGUAAAGCCAUCCAUUCCUCUGAUGAAAGUGAAGAUGAGGGUGGAGAUGAAGACGACGAUGACGAUGAGUGGGAUGACUGAAGUUCUUGUUUGUGUGGAUUUAGUUCAACUGUGAUUUUGGUCGUAAACCUCAGAAUUGCAAUACUGGUACAUUGGUUUUGUUUUUUACGUUCAAUAAUUAAUAAUAAAACUGGAAUAUGA
Molecule: RNA transcript, 1961 nt
Organism: Etheostoma cragini (Arkansas darter)
Lineage: Eukaryota; Metazoa; Chordata; Actinopteri; Perciformes; Percidae
Gene: wasa
Gene name: WASP actin nucleation promoting factor a
Exons: 11
Source: RefSeq, a predicted model, not a curated record